AGAGUUGAUCAUGGCUCAGGAUGAACGCUAGCGACAGGCUAACACAUGCAAGUCGAGGGGCAGCACGGGAGUAGCAAUACUUGGUGGCGACCGGCGCACGGGUGAGUAACGCGUAUGCCAACCUACCUAUCAGAGGGGAAUAACCCGGCGAAAGUCGGACUAAUACCGCAUAAAACAGGGGCACCGCAUGGUGAUAUUUGUUAAAGAAAUUACGCUGAUAGAUGGGCAUGCGUUCCAUUAGGUAGUUGGUGAGGUAACGGCUCACCAAGCCGACGAUGGAUAGGGGAACUGAGAGGUUGGUCCCCCACACUGGUACUGAGACACGGACCAGACUCCUACGGGAGGCAGCAGUGAGGAAUAUUGGUCAAUGGGCGGGAGCCUGAACCAGCCAAGUCGCGUGAAGGAAGAAGGAUCUAUGGUUCGUAAACUUCUUUUGCAGGGGAAUAAAGUGCAGGACGUGUCCUGUUUUGUAUGUACCCUGAGAAUAAGGAUCGGCUAACUCCGUGCCAGCCGCGGC
This 517-nucleotide ribosomal RNA is filed under the name uncultured bacterium. RNAcentral's name for it is "bacterial SSU rRNA". It matches the Rfam family "Bacterial small subunit ribosomal RNA", at positions 8 to 518 of the family's 1533-position model. The record is from RNAcentral.